GUUUUUUUUAAAACGAAGGCAAAGAUUGCCUCAUCUAUUAAUUAAGCAGAAGAGAAUUGCCCAGUUAAUUACGGAAAACUGGGCGAAAACCGGAACAACAAGGGCCAAGCCCACACCCCUAGAUUGAAACACAUUGGGCAAAGCCCAUCCUAUUGGACAACAUGUCAACCUACAGCCAGACAACGCAGCUCCGACUCUGACGGAGAACUCAGAAGAACAAAACCAGGCACGGCUGGCGCCACGAAAGAUCACCGAACGGGCCACCUGCAGCCAGUCAUCGUACACCACAGGGCCCCGCCAUCGCAGCUUCGACUCCACAGCAACAAACAAACCGAGGCAAUAUCGUGGACACGCCGGAGAAGAGCCGACUACCGCAACCAUUGCCGCGUCGCCGACAUCGCUCCCACCAUCAUCGUUGCCACAGAAGUCUGGUUGCCAUAGUGAUUUUUCCGGGGCCGCCGCCCCGACAUCCACCGCUCCGUCACGCCCAGCGCAAUCAACCGGCACCGCCUUCCGAGGCCGCCGCCCCGACAUACCACCGCUCCCCUCGAGCAGCAACGCCGCACAACCCAGCUGCCCGCAGCCCACACUGCUCAAGGCAACCGCUCGCAGACCACGAACGUCUCACCACAUCCGGGGCCGCCGCCCCGACAUAACGUCAGACCGCCCCCUAUGGGGCGCAUCGACCGAGCCGACACCCCUACCGCCCAAGCGGGACAAGGAUGCCACCCAACCAAUGUGGAGAUAGAGCCCCACCUCAUAGAGCUGCCACUCGCAUUGUUCCCGAGAUCGCCAUCUCGACGCACAAUCAGAAACCACCCAGAGCCGUCGCCCCGACGUCAACUGUCCCCGACGACGAAGAGAUCCGUGCAAACUGCAGUAUGCUGACUCUCCAAGGCGAUGCCUCAAAGAAGGAAGCGACGUAGCCGCCGUCAUCGCCCGUUUCAACCAACUGAAACUAGGGAUUUCUUCCGGAGAGUCGUGUAAUGGAGCUUCACGACAACGCCUUCAAGGAGAACGACACCAUGGCGCCGCCGUUGCCGGCACCGACCCAAAGUCAGUGCAGGGCUUUCACCCGAAGCUCCUCCACACCUCCGAAUCCGAGCGGAUCCAAAGCACUGCACACACACAAUCUCCAUGGUCGACGUCCACCGGUUCCACCUCAUGGUGCAGCUGCCGCCGCACCUCACACGUCCAACCCGGCCGUCACGACGACCCGCACCGUCGCCGCCCCGGCCUCCUCGAGCAGAGCACCACCACCCCAAAGAACAGAGCAGCCGGAGACCUCCUCCUUGCUGGACCUCGCAUUGCCACGCUGUCCCCAAAACUGCUGCACGCCGCCGACCACCAAAGCUUGGAGCAGCCGGAGCUCCUCCACGGCAGUCCACCGCAGGGCCGACCGGACCACCAGCAGACCAUAGCAAACUACAGCCACCACCGGCCGCCCCUCCGACCCACGCCAGAUGCAGAUCUGACCGAGGUGAGAUCGGCCGAGGAACCGCUGCAGAACGCACCCUCCGGCGACCUCCUGCCGCCCGCCAAGAAAGAAGGGCACCACCGUCUCCCGGGGCCGCCGCCCCGGCUUCCUCGCGCCGACGAGAUGGCCGGACGACGCCCCAGCCGCUCCGCCCCUCCCCCGACGCCUCCAGACGCAAAAUCGAAGCCCCCUGCCGCCUUUGGUAGCAGGGCCCGCCGCCACCGCGGCAACGGCCGGCGGCAGCGGCGGAGAUGGAUCCCGCUGCGGGGGUCGCUGGCGGCGGAGGAGUGUCGCCCCCGGUGCCGCCUGGGGUGCGACACGGGGGGAUGUUUUUUUAGCCCCUGCGAUAUGUUACGUUUUUAGUAUAUAUGGAAG
This 1852-nucleotide ribosomal RNA is filed under the name Triticum aestivum (bread wheat). RNAcentral describes it as "partial small subunit ribosomal RNA". The record is from RNAcentral. Lineage: Eukaryota; Viridiplantae; Streptophyta; Magnoliopsida; Poales; Poaceae.